Molecule: non-coding RNA, 229 nt
Organism: Pelobates cultripes (western spadefoot toad)
Lineage: Eukaryota; Metazoa; Chordata; Amphibia; Anura; Pelobatidae
Source: the annotation of a GenBank genome assembly
GAUGGUUACCUGUCCUGGUGGUUUGUCGCUAUUAUAGGUUGGCCAAUGCUUGAUCACUUCAGUUAGUUGCUUAGCCCUGCUACUAAUUAUUAGUCUCUGCAUUUAUCCAGAGUAGGGAUAUACAAUUGUGCUCAAAGGUUUGCAUACUCUGGCAGAAAGUGUGACAUUUUGGCAUUGAUUUUGAAAAUAUGACUGAUCAUGCAUAACAUUUACUUUUAUUGAAGGAUAG